UGUCUUUUGAGUACCUUACGUUUCCUCGGCGGGUCCGCCCGCCGACUGGACAAUUUAAACCACUUGCAGUUGCAAUCAGCGUCUGAAAAAACUUAAUAGUUACAACUUUCAACAACGGAUCUCUUGGUUCUGGCAUCGAUGAAGAACGCAGCGAAAUGCGAUAAGUAGUGUGAAUUGCAGAAUUCAGUGAAUCAUCGAAUCUUUGAACGCACAUUGCGCCCCUUGGUAUUCCAUGGGGCAUGCCUGUUCGAGCGUCAUUUGUACCUUCAAGCCUUGCUUGGUGUUGGGUGUUUGUCUCGCCUCUGCGCGUAGACUCGCCUCAAAACAAUUGGCAGCCGGCGUAUUGAUUUCGGAGCGCAGUACAUCUCGCGCUUUGCACUCAGAACGACGACGUCCAAAAGUACAUUUUUACACUCUUGACCUCGGAUCAGGUAGGGAUACCCGCUGAACUUAAGCAUAU
RNAcentral lists this ribosomal RNA (460 nucleotides) under Phoma sp. HL5-171-06C. RNAcentral's name for it is "eukaryotic LSU rRNA". The stretch from base 104 to 257 matches the Rfam family "5.8S ribosomal RNA". The record is from RNAcentral. Lineage: Eukaryota; Fungi; Ascomycota; Dothideomycetes; Pleosporales; Didymellaceae.